CGAACGGACGAGAAGCUUGCUUCUCUGAUGUUAGCGGCGGACGGGUGAGUAACACGUGGAUAACCUACCUAUAAGACUGGGAUAACUUCGGGAAACCGUAGCUAAUACCGGAUAAUAUUUUGAACCGCAUGGUUCAAAAGUGAAAGACGGUCUUGCUGUCACUUAUAGAUGGAUCCGCGCUGCAUUAGCUAGUUGGUAAGGUAACGGCUUACCAAGGCAACGAUGCAUAGCCGACCUGAGAGGGUGAUCGGCCACACUGGAACUGAGACACGGUCCAGACUCCUACGGGAGGCAGCAGUAGGGAAUCUUCCGCAAUGGGCGAAAGCCUGACGGAGCAACGCCGCGUGAGUGAUGAAGGUCUUCGGAUCGUAAAACUCUGUUAUUAGGGAAGAACAUAUGUGUAAGUAACUGUGCACAUCUUGACGGUACCUAAUCAGAAAGCCACGGCUAACUACGUGCCAGCAGCCGCGGUAAUACGUAGGUGGCAAGCGUUAUCCGGAAUUAUUGGGCGUAAAGCGCGCGCAGGCGGUUUUUUAAGUCUGAUGUGAAAGCCCACGGCUCAACCGUGGAGGGUCAUUGGAAACUGGAAAACUUGAGUGCAGAAGAGGAAAGUGGAAUUCCAUGUGUAGCGGUGAAAUGCGCAGAGAUAUGGAGGAACACCAGUGGCGAAGGCGACUUUCUGGUCUGUAACUGACGCUGAUGUGCGAAAGCGUGGGGAUCAAACAGGAUUAGAUACCCUGGUAGUCCACGCCGUAAACGAUGAGUGCUAAGUGUUAGGGGGUUUCCGCCCCUUAGUGCUGCAGCUAACGCAUUAAGCACUCCGCCUGGGG
Molecule: ribosomal RNA, 830 nt
Filed under: uncultured Staphylococcus sp.
Lineage: Bacteria; Bacillati; Bacillota; Bacilli; Caryophanales; Staphylococcaceae
Description: bacterial SSU rRNA
Rfam family: Bacterial small subunit ribosomal RNA
Source: RNAcentral